This is a non-coding RNA of Ictidomys tridecemlineatus (thirteen-lined ground squirrel), 1395 nucleotides long. The record is from RefSeq and is a predicted model, not a curated record. NCBI's taxonomy places the organism in Eukaryota, Metazoa, Chordata, Mammalia, Rodentia, Sciuridae.
GAAGAGCAGCAGCACUUAAAAGGAGUAGAGAGAAGCAAGACCCUAAUUGGAGGCAAAUCAAGUGAGAAGACAGAGAUUGAUGUCCUGGCUCACCUCUAAGGGAUCUCAGCAGUUCGCUAUCCAUUAAUUGCCCCAUGUUCAGGGUUCUUGGGUCAAGAGGAGGGCUCAGUGGCCUCAGAGAAGCAGGUUGAAUAGCACACAGAGAGAAAGGGCCACUGUGAUCCUGGAUCACUGCUGGGUGCUGGUAUUAUGGGUAAACAGUACAGGGAGAGAAAGGAAUCCACUGGGAUACAGGUCAUCUUCAGAUGCUGACAUUAUGGGACACGCAGACCUUCAAGACUCUGGAUUCCAAGGCAGAAAAUCACAGAUUUCCGACUUCGCAACUCACACACAAAAAGAAAUGAGUUACAACGUAGACACCAAACUAAAAACUACCCUACGCACCCAGCACAACCACACUGCCUACAUCUUCUGGAUUGCUAUUCCACACAACAAGCUAUCCACACCAACACCUCUACCCCUCUUCUCCAAUAACUUCUGAGAAAGGCUACAUUCACUGGAUCCCUCCCCAAUUCACACAGGUCCCACCACCUGGACCCCCAGAGGCCUCCUGUUUCAACUCAAGGAUGGCUGAGCUGGAGAGCCGAGACAGAAGACACAGCUGUCUUCUUACCACCACCACUAACACCCCCAACCGAGCCGCAGCAGCUGCUGAGACCUCUACUGGGACAUUCACAGCCCACUUCUUAAGCCUGGAGCAGAGUGAAGCCUGGAGGACCUCCACCAAGGGUUGCACAGACAGGACAGGAAAGGCUCCCCAACCACAGUGGCCUGGAGGAAGUAUACUGUCAAGAGAAGGAGGACAGAAUAUACCAGCUGCUGCUUGCCUAACCUCUUUCUACACGUGGAAUCCCCCAACCAGGCCUCCUCGCCCUUCCCCAGCAACCAACACACAUCAAGCCAAGCCCAAGGCCCUGACCCCAGUCUGUAUGGCUGAGUGUCUACCUCCACGCAGCCUCACCCCAAAGAAGGGGCGGGUCCACAGCAAACAAGCCUCACAAUGCCUCUGAGCCCCCUGAGGGGUCCAGGCCUCCAGCACCCAACUAUGCCCAGCUCCCAGGAAAUAGCCCAGAGGAAGGCACUGGAAAAGGCACCCCCGCCCUCCCCGAAAACAUCUGAGAUGACUCAGGCAACCUCCUCGCCCCAAGCACCUCCAUCCUCAGUAAACUGCAGGUGGGAGCAACUAAGGGACAUCUAGCCACCCCUGAAGGGGCCCACUCCCUUCUGGACUGCGCUCCUGCCCUCUCUCACACUCAACCACCUGGACUCCAAGUCCAGCCAGGAAAGGGCCUGCGGGGGACAGGAAACGCUCGAACACUUCCUCACUUAGAACAC